CGUAUAUCCCUGUUCUAUGUGUUUGGACUUUUGAUGAGACCUUAGCUCCUUAGUAAGGACAAUGGGCCAUUAUCUUUACAGUAUGGUGUUAUGACAUUCGAUGUCACAUCGAGUUUUGCAACUAUCACAAUAACCAGAAUGCAUCAUGCACAUUUCCAGCAUAUUCAGCUUCUAUUGAUCAGUUGCUUGGAAUUUUUCCAACAUACCAAUUCAACAUAACUCAAGAAUAUAUACGGAUAUAGAUAUUCUUCCAUCAAUGUAUCCUUCCACUCUUAGGUCUAACCUUUCUCCAA
This 293-nucleotide long non-coding RNA is filed under the name Elaeis guineensis (African oil palm). RNAcentral's name for it is "long non-coding RNA (EGUI_LNC049488)". The record is from RNAcentral. Lineage: Eukaryota; Viridiplantae; Streptophyta; Magnoliopsida; Arecales; Arecaceae.